UGUACUUUAUUACAAGUACUAAUAUUUUUUUCUCCACUAUAACCGAAGCCGAUAAUGUGGUCCUUGAACAUUGUAGCAUUUUUUCUGGUAGCAUGAGGACGGUCACCACAGGCGACCCAUUACUUGCCGCACUUCAUUCAAAUCGACCUGAAAACACAGCAAUUAAACCUCAAAAUCACAAUCUCAAUCUCAUAAACGCAACAUCAACCUUGUGGCGCCGUCGUUGGACUGCCUUUGCAAGCGGCUCAAAACCUCCGAUUCCCGUUUCUAACAACACUGACAUCAGGGACUCGACGGAACAGAUAUGGCUAACAUGUUUUUAUUUCUCGUGGAAAUGGUUUUCUAGACUUGUUUCCUGUUACUUGUUAUUAUCUCUUAAUCUGGUUGCUGUGGCCUCUGAAUAUCCAAUACCCUCUACUUAUGCCUGUGAGGACAUUACCAAUUACUAUUCCCCUGUGAAGCAUUUGAGAUUAAAAGGUGAAGCACUCAAGAGAAAAUUGAAUAGUAUCAUUGCUCCACAUCGUUCAUUGUCCUACCAAGAGGUGUGGGAUGCUCUCAAAAUUCUUGAUGCUGCUGAUAUUGAUAAUCCGGAAGCUUCAUUGGGAAUAGUUGAAAUAUAUUCUCUGAGAGUUGUUUCGAAGGGGUUAUCUGGAAAACCACAAGGAUGGAAUAGGGAGCAUCUUUGGCCUCGUUCUUAUGGGCUGACAACUGUUCCAUCUUUGACUGAUUUACAAAACAUUCGCCCUGCUGACGUUAAUGUGAAUUCAUCAAGGGGAAACAAGUACUAUGGGGAAUGCAUAACUAGCUCGCCCAAAUGUUUGAGGCCAGCCAACAAAGAAGCUGCUUCGGACACGGAAGCAGACAAGAGGAUCUGGGCACCACCUAAGCAGGUUAGGGGAGAUAUUGCAAGAGCGUUAAUGUACAUGGCAGUCUGUUAUGGGUUUCAACAACCAGGGGGAAGUCCUGCUCUUCGUCUUUCGGACACUCCAAAUGUUGAAAACAGAGAGAUGGGACUGCUUUCGACAUUAUUAGAAUGGAAUGAAGUCGAUCCACCUUCAAGGGAAGAGAAACUGAGAAAUGAAAGGAUAUGCAAAUUUUAUCAGCAUAAUCGGAAUCCUUUUGUUGAUCAUCCGGAGUAUGCCAAACUUAUAUGGAAGAGUGUCAUUUCAAGACGUACUCCUCAUAAUAAUAGUGAUGAUAAAGGAAAAGAAUUAGGACGAGUGUCUCAACCACCUCACUUGUAAUAGUUCUAAAUGGUGGUCGAUGAUGAUAGCCUUAUAAAAUUUUCAACUGAUCAUUAGCUUUGUCAGCCCGCGAAGCAGGCUUGUCAAAAAGAUGAUAGAUAUGAUUAAUGAAAGAUAGAGGAAGAUAAAAAGAGGAGUAUUAACAUCAAAUAAUGCCUUCAUAAGGUUGUAGAUGAGCACUUCACAUUAGCUGUGAAAAUGUUGGGAUCAUCUGAAGUGAUCUACUUCGAUGGAGUUAUAAUGAAGCAUAAUAAAUGCAUUGUGUGGAGAAGGUUCCGCUGUGACUAGAGAUCUUUUUUGUGCACUUACCAUAGUUAGUCUAUGGAUAGGAGAAAGAUGCCUGAUGAAUUUGGUAGAGUUGUAGCUACUGCAUCAUUAACAUCAUUAUUAAAGUCUGACGGUGGAAUAUGCCAUAUUGUUGUUUGUUCCAUUUAGAGGUGUAUGACAUCAAAAGUUUUUAUAAAAAAAAGUCAAUAAAGAUGUUGCAAAAUA
This is an RNA transcript of Lathyrus oleraceus (garden pea), 1736 nucleotides long. RefSeq lists it as uncharacterized. The transcript has 11 exons. Lineage: Eukaryota; Viridiplantae; Streptophyta; Magnoliopsida; Fabales; Fabaceae. The record is from RefSeq and is a predicted model, not a curated record.